This 464-nucleotide ribosomal RNA is filed under the name uncultured bacterium. RNAcentral's name for it is "partial 16S ribosomal RNA". It matches the Rfam family "Bacterial small subunit ribosomal RNA", at positions 339 to 795 of the family's 1533-position model. The record is from RNAcentral.
CUACGGGCCGCACCAGUGGGGAAUUUUGGACAAUGGGCGCAAGCCUGAUCCAGCCAUGCCGCGUGAGUGAAGAAGGCCUUCGGGUUGUAAAGCUCUUUCAGGUGGGAAGAAACGGUUAAUGUUAAUAGCAUUGACUACUGACGGUACCACCAGAAGAAGCACCGGCUAACUACGUGCCAGCAGCCGCGGUAAUACGUAGGGUGCGAGCGUUAAUCGGAAUUACUGGGCGUAAAGGGUGCGCAGGCGGUUUUGUAAGCCAGAUGUGAAAUCCCCGGGCUCAACCUGGGAACUGCAUUUGGGACUGCAAGGCUAGAGUACGGCAGAGGGGGGUAGAAUUCCACGUGUAGCAGUGAAAUGCGUAGAUAUGUGGAGGAAUACCGAUGGCGAAGGCAGCCCCCUGGGUCGAUACUGACGCUCAGGCACGAAAGCGUGGGGAGCAAACAGGAUUAGAUACCCGCGUAGUC